RNAcentral lists this ribosomal RNA (1118 nucleotides) under uncultured bacterium. RNAcentral describes it as "bacterial SSU rRNA". It matches the Rfam family "Bacterial small subunit ribosomal RNA", at positions 8 to 1104 of the family's 1533-position model. The record is from RNAcentral.
AGAGUUUGAUCCUGGCUCAGAAUGAACGCUGGCGGCGUGCUUAACACAUGCAAGUCGUGCGCGAAGGUGGCUUCGGCCACCGGAGAGCGGCGAACGGGUGAGUAACACGUGGGUGAUCUGCCUGGGAGCGGGGGAUAACCUGGGGAAACUCGGGCUAAUACCGCAUACGUUGAUCUGGUUACGAUCAGGUCAAGAAAGCUGGCCUCUAUUUAUAAGCUAGCGCUCGCAGAGGAGCCCGCGGCUGAUUAGCUAGUUGGUAGGGUAAUGGCCUACCAAGGCGACGACCAGUAGCCGGCCUGAGAGGGUGAUCGGCCACACUGGGACUGAGACACGGCCCAGACUCCUACGGGAGGCAGCAGUGGGGAAUAUUGGACAAUGGGCGCAAGCCUGAUCCAGCAACGCCGCGUGGAGGACGAAGGUCUUCGGAUCGUAAACUCCUGUCAGGCGGGACGAAGGCUUCCGGGCAAAUAGUCCGGAAGCUUGACGGUACUGCCAGAGGAAGCCCCGGCUAACUCCGUGCCAGCAGCCGCGGUAAUACGGAGGGGGCUAGCGUUAUUCGGAAUUAUUGGGCGUAAAGGGCGCGUAGGCGGCCCGGUAAGUCAAAGGUGAAAUCCCUCGGCUCAACUGAGGAACUGCCUUUGAAACUGUCGGGCUUGAGGCCGGGAGGGGGUAGCGGAAUUCCCAGUGUAGCGGUGAAAUGCGUAGAUAUUGGGAGGAACACCGGUGGCGAAGGCGGCUACCUGGACCGGUUCUGACGCUGAUGCGCGAAAGCGUGGGUAGCGAACAGGAUUAGAUACCCUGGUAGUCCACGCUGUAAACGAUGGGUGCUCGGUGUCGCGGGUAUCGACCCCUGCGGUGCCUUAGCUAACGCGUUAAGCACCCCGCCUGGGGAGUACAGUCGCAAGGCUGAAACUCAAAGGAAUUGACGGGGGCCCGCACAAGCGGUGGAGCAUGUGGUUUAAUUCGAUGCAACGCGAAGAACCUUACCUGGGCUUGAACUGUGGUGGACCGGUCUGGAAACAGUCCUUCUCCUUCGGGAGCCGCCAUAGAGGUGCUGCAUGGCUGUCGUCAGCUCGUGUCGUGAGAUGUUGGGUUAAGUCCCGCAACGAGCGCAACCC